This 190-nucleotide microRNA precursor is filed under the name Oryza brachyantha (malo sina). RNAcentral's name for it is "MIR812 microRNA precursor family". It matches the Rfam family "MIR812 microRNA precursor family". The record is from Rfam by way of RNAcentral. Lineage: Eukaryota; Viridiplantae; Streptophyta; Magnoliopsida; Poales; Poaceae.
AAUAAGAUCGUUUUUCAGUUUUUUAAUACAAUGUUUUGACUCUUCAUCUUAUUUGAAAUUUUUUUGCGACUAAUAUUUUUAUUCUUACUAGAUGAUAAAACAUGAAUAAUACUUUGUAUGUGACUAAUUUUUUAAAGAUUUUUUAUAAUUUUUCAAAUAAGACGAAUGGUCAAAGGUUGGACACGGGAAA